Molecule: long non-coding RNA, 743 nt
Organism: Micropterus salmoides (largemouth bass)
Lineage: Eukaryota; Metazoa; Chordata; Actinopteri; Centrarchiformes; Centrarchidae
Exons: 3
Source: RefSeq, a predicted model, not a curated record
UAAAGGGAAUACAACGGUGUGAGUAAAUAUGGGAAUAUUACAGGAAUAACAGUCAAACAUGAAACAAACCAGAAGGUAAUGAACAGAAUAUGCAAUAAGACAAAAUCAGUAUAAUAGGCUGGAUGGAAUUUCAGUUUGGUAUUGUGGAUGGAAGAGAAUGAGGGAACGAAUGGUCAUAAAUUAUGUUGCAAAUUUUAAAUAAACUAGGGGUUUCUUAACUAAAGAUGAGGACCAACUAUAGGACACCAACGAGUCACAGAAUGUGAUUUGUUUAUGCCUUAUUGUUGUCAUAAUUCCCCGUGGCAAAGGCUCACUGCCGGUUUUGGCUUGUUGUUGUUGUCCGGGCCCGGCUGGGUUGGCACCCCAGCGGCGUCUCGAGCUGGUUUUAAACCGGUGGAUUUGUUCCAGAGUCCUAUGCGGGAAAACGCUUGCACCAACGGGCAAGACGGUCAGCCCUGGCUUUGCGCUCUGAGUUCGUUUGGUGUCGCUAUAGCUCAGCGGAACACACUCCAGACUCUGUCGUUGGAGCCGUGACUUCGUUCAACCCGAGUCUUCAGUGUGCUUCAUAUUGGCCCUCUGGCUGCAUUCCCUCUGUUGUGAUGGGACGGGAUCGUGUGUUUUGCUGGGAGAUGCCCUCAGACUUUUCCACCUUCCUUCAUCUGCUGUGCCUGCAUGCCUGCCUCCCUGCCAGUCUGUCUGCCUACAUAAAAGCAGUGAUGCAUCAAUAAACCAGUAAAAGUGUA